CGGGGCGUAGCGCAGACCGGUUAGCGCGCCUGCCUUGGGAGCAGGAGGUCGCUGGUUCAAAUCCAGUCGCCCCGACAA
This 78-nucleotide transfer RNA is filed under the name Fidelibacterota bacterium. RNAcentral's name for it is "Candidatus Marinimicrobia bacterium tRNA-Pro". It matches the Rfam family "tRNA". From Rfam's summary of the family: Transfer RNA (tRNA) molecules are approximately 80 nucleotides in length. Their secondary structure includes four short double-helical elements and three loops (D, anti-codon, and T loops). Lineage: Bacteria; Pseudomonadati; Fidelibacterota. The record is from RNAcentral.